CUAGGUAUUAGAAAAUGGAAAGGCAGGUGACGAAACAAAAGCUUAAUGUUGCUCGUAACUUAGUCAUUAUAUAUAUGUAUAUAUAUAGUGAAAUAGCAUUUUCAUUACCUACAUUGUGAUUGUUUGAAACAUUAUAUUGUGAUAUAGUGAAUCGAUUUAAGAAUAAGAAGAAGAAGAAGAAAGUGAUCGUGGGAUUAGAGAUGCCUCCACCACCGGGAUUCAAUGGUGGGCCUGGAGGCCCAUUUGGUUGUUUGGGCUCUCUCUGUAGUGGUAUAUGCAGGCUUAUUUCUUCCUGUGCUUAUUUCCUGUGCUGUUGCUGCCUCCUAGAGAGCUGCUGUGGGCCUAUGUUUGGUGGGCCUGGUGGCCCACCAGGCCCACAGGGUCCUUUUGGUGGGCCUCGCUUCUGAUGGGCUUGGUGAUGAUGAUGCUCAAAUUCGGUCUACAAACAACUAUCAUGUAAUAAACACAAUCUGCUCUGCUUUUAUGGUAUUGAAUGUGUUAAACUUUAUGUAUUAGUGUGUUUAAAAUUUAUAUAUUGAUAUAUUUGUGUCUA
This is a long non-coding RNA of Humulus lupulus (European hop), 553 nucleotides long. RefSeq lists it as uncharacterized. The record is from RefSeq and is a predicted model, not a curated record. Lineage: Eukaryota; Viridiplantae; Streptophyta; Magnoliopsida; Rosales; Cannabaceae. The transcript is spliced from 2 exons.